UUCAGGGUGUUGCUUCUGUAGAUGCCGCGUUUAACUCUCCUCCAGUCGAGCAUCAGGAUGUGGUAUUGUUUAUUUUGGUCAGCAUUGCCUUUUUCCGGUUGAUGCACCAAUAAAAGAUGCAGGCCCAAUCUAGCAAUUCUAUAGGUUUUCUCUGCUUCUCUGCAAAAUCUUGAUUUGGUGGAUACACAUAUGUACAAGAGAUAAAUGGUGGCCUCGUGGACUACCCUUCUGAAUGUAUGCUCUAACUCCAGUUGAUGAUCUGCCAGGGCCUUCUGACCUUCCUAAACUUUCACAGGUACUCCUAACCUGAUGUGCCUUCCUGCUU
Molecule: long non-coding RNA, 325 nt
Organism: Lolium rigidum
Lineage: Eukaryota; Viridiplantae; Streptophyta; Magnoliopsida; Poales; Poaceae
Exons: 4
Source: RefSeq, a predicted model, not a curated record